Non-coding RNA from Lupinus albus (white lupine), 211 nucleotides. The record is from the annotation of a GenBank genome assembly. Lineage: Eukaryota; Viridiplantae; Streptophyta; Magnoliopsida; Fabales; Fabaceae.
AUGAAUAACAAAUGUGUUGGAGGAGACGAGGGAAGAUCUAACAAAGUUGCGGAAUCAAAGCACUAACUUGCAUUCAGUGUAAUAAUUAGAUUGCAGGUAAAGCAAAAGGAUUGUAGAUUCAAGGUUGCCGCGAAAUAUGGAUUCUAUUGUGUUGCCUGUAAUAUGUGUGUGGAAUGUAUGACAUGUGACUUCAAGAACUUGUAGUAUUGAU